UGGAAUUUUGAUGAAGAUAUUAAACCUGACCAAUCAAAUUCGUUGUUAGUUAAAGAAGGAGUGAGAGAAUCCAAAUCCCAUGAGUGAGAGAAUCCAAGUCCCAUGAGUGAGUGAGUAAGAAAAGAAAAUACUCUGGGUAUAGUUAGCAAUUUGGAACAAUUACUUAACCAAAGCUAUAAGAGACUAGGACUCUCGUGCAAAUACUAAAAGAUAGACAUGCCUCAAGCAUAAUACUUGCCACUCUUCACAAUCAGUACUAAUCAAUUGAGUAAGAGACAUGGUAGUGCUUUCUCUCCAUUUCUUAAUUUAUAUAAAACGACAGAUAGGUUAUAUGACUAUUUUGAAAUCUUACAGGCACCGUGUGACAUUAUGCAAAAUAAUAGGGGCUCAUUUUAAUUUGUCCAAAUUUACACACUAUUUGCGUACUUGAUACCGUUGUUACUAUAGCCAAAAUCACCACCUUCAUUUUUCACUAGAUGUAGAAAAGCAUCUAUGACGUCAACUCAAUUUCUUUUCUUAAAUUUGUACUGACUAGAAUACAGAAAAUAGGAUCCACGUGUUUCAAGAAGAAUUUAAUGCAUUGAUUUUGGUUAUUAAUUAAUUUCAAAUGCAUUUAAUCCAUUAAUUUAUUAACCAUAGGUUUAGCACAAUAGAUAUUUUUUAAGGCAAUACAAUACUUGCAAAUUUGUUUGUCAUGCUUCACUCAUAUCUUAAAUGAAUUGAUUAUUGCAAUGUCCGACAAAUCACAAUUUUUAAAUUCAUUAAAUGAUAUCGUUUUUUUGAAUUUAACACACUUUAGGUACAGUAGUGUACUUAAUAUGGAAGAACACGCAUUAUCAUAUCACUAGAUGAAACAAGCGUACGUCUUUUUUUUCAAAGAAAAAAGAAAUACAAAUAUCCAUAAAACCAAGACUAGCAAAAUUGUGACGUGCUUCAAUUCCAUCCCCAAGUAGGCUUUCUUGAUCUUCACACAGCAAAGGCAUGGGAAUAAGAGUGAGAUCUGAUGCUCAAAAAUGCACCAAAAGGUGCCUUUACAUAUCCAAAAAAAAAAUGGAAUACUAAGUGUCACUACAACUGUAUUGAUGACCAAAUUUGUUCUAAUUGAAGGACUCAUAAUUCUGCUAUUUAGGAAAUGAAAUACAUGUUCAACUGCCAUUGCAAUUGGAGUGAGAUUAGGCGAUAGCUAGUUAAGGAUUGAUCAACGUGGACCAUGUAGUAUAAAUUGCAGUUUUGAAGGAAGUACUCAUACAAAAUCAUUGUCCCUAUGGUUAUUUCAAGAACCAAGGACCAGAUCUUUGGCUACAUCAGAGACAAUAUUAAGCGAAGAUUGGGAAGUUGGAAGAAUAAAUUGCUGAGCUCUGCGGGAAAGGAAGUCAUGCUCAAAGCUGUCACAAUGGCCAUGCCCACCUAUGUUAUGUCUUGUUUCAAACUGCCUAAGAAACUCCUCAAGGACAUUAAUUCAGCAAUGGCUAAUUACUGGUGGGGUGAAACUAAUGGAAAAAACAGGCUACACUGGAUAUCUUGGGGGAGAAUGGCUCAGAACCGACAGGAGGGUGGGUUGGGUUUUAAGGAUUUAGAAGCCUUCAACAAAGCCCUGAUAGGGAAGCAGGUUUGGAGAUUUAUCACUAAGCCAAAUCUCCUAGUCAGUAAAGUCUUGAAAGCCAAGUACUACCCCAAGGAAUCAAUUUUCACCUGUAAAGCUCAGAGUAAUGCAUCUUGGUUUUGGAAAGGAAUAAUGGAUGUCAGAGGGAUAGUGGAAGAAGGAGUAAGGAGAAGAAUUGGGAAUGGGAGAGGCACAAACAUAUGGGAGCAUAAAUGGAUUCCAACCUCUCCAUCCGGCUAUCCUACAACUUCAAGGCCCCCAAACUGUGAAUUUGUAUCUGUUCAGCAGUUGAUCAACCAAAGCAGGUGGAACACUAAUAUAAUUUUCAGAUUGUUCAACAAGACUGAUGCGGAAAAGAUUCUUAGUAUCCCGAUUAGCUUUGCAGGUAGACCAGACUCCAACUUUUGGACAUACAGUGAAGGAGGGGAAUAUACAGUGAGAUCUGGCUACAAGAGGUUUUUGGUGGAGAAAACAAGAAGCAACAAAGGGCAGGAACUUGCUGGAAGUAGCUAUGAGGCUGGCAGUAACCAAAACAGGCAGAUUUGGAAGACACUGUGGAAGCUAAAUAUCAAACACAAAGUUAAGUUGUUCAUCUGGAAGUGUAUCAGUGGAGCGUUACCAGUCAAAGAGGCAAUCCACCGGAGAGCAGCAACAGGAGAUCCAAUAUGCAAGGGAUGUGGAGAAGAGCUAGAAACAAUAGAACACACACUCCUGCAAUGUCCCCUAGCAAAGAAUGUCUGGAAAGUAGCUCCAGUUAAGUGGGAUGGUGCAGAUGAUCAGAGAUACAACUUCACAAAGUGGUGGGGGAGAAUCUCAGAAGCUAAAUCUAGACAAGAGGGAAACAGCCACAUUGGUCUUACCGCGAACAUUUUAUGGCAGAUUUGGAAAGAUAGGAACAAAAGGGAAUUUGAGAAUGCCUGUAACCAUCAACCGUGCAAAGUAAUCCAAAAAGCACAUACAGAAUGGUUGGACAUGGAGG
RNAcentral lists this long non-coding RNA (2582 nucleotides) under Coffea arabica (coffee). RNAcentral's name for it is "long non-coding RNA (CARA_LNC000454)". Lineage: Eukaryota; Viridiplantae; Streptophyta; Magnoliopsida; Gentianales; Rubiaceae. The record is from RNAcentral.